AGCUCCAAUAGCGUAUAUUAAAGUUGUUGCGGUUAAAAAGCUCGUAGUUGGAAUUCUGCUGAGGACAACUGGUCUGCCCUCUGGGUGAGUAUCUGGUCUGGCCUUGGCAUCUUCUUGGGCAACACACUUGCACUUGAUUGUGUGAUGUGGAACUCAAGGCUUUUACUUUGAGGAAAUCAGAGUGCUUCCAGCAGGCAAAUGCCUUGAAUACAUUAGCAUGGAAUAAUACUAUAAGGCU
RNAcentral lists this ribosomal RNA (238 nucleotides) under uncultured eukaryote. Its description in RNAcentral is "partial small subunit ribosomal RNA". It matches the Rfam family "Eukaryotic small subunit ribosomal RNA", at positions 587 to 829 of the family's 1831-position model. The record is from RNAcentral.